CUGGGCUCGGGGCCGCCCCUGCCCCUGGUCCUUCAGUGUUGCUCAAACUAGAAACAGAAGCCAUGCUGGAAGACAGAGCUGCUGACCUAAGCCCAAAGCCCAGUAAUCUUCAAGCAAGGGACCUGUUUGAGUGUCUGCUCCAUGACAGGCGGGGGACUCUUUGCCCAUGGAAGCUCUAGGGCCAUUUUCCAGCUGAGGUUUUAAAAAAAAAGGGAAGAUGUGGGUCAGAGGACACCCACAGAGGACAGACUCCACGUUUUUUUU
RNAcentral lists this long non-coding RNA (264 nucleotides) under Homo sapiens (human). RNAcentral's name for it is "PREDICTED lncRNA (TCONS_00222807)". The record is from RNAcentral. Lineage: Eukaryota; Metazoa; Chordata; Mammalia; Primates; Hominidae.